RNAcentral lists this long non-coding RNA (213 nucleotides) under Fukomys damarensis (Damara mole-rat). Its description in RNAcentral is "lncRNA (ENSFDAG00000027425.1)". Lineage: Eukaryota; Metazoa; Chordata; Mammalia; Rodentia; Bathyergidae. The record is from RNAcentral.
UUUUUUUUUUUUUUUUUUUUUUUGGUACAGGAGCUCCAACUCCGGUCCUUGUGUUUUUGUGCUUACGAGGCAGGCAGCAGAACCACUGAGCUAAAUCCCCAUCUACUAACUUUUAAAAUGCCUGCUGCAAGCAGAAUCAAAAUUAACAAAAGAAACAACUUAGAAACAAUACAAAGAUCUCUGUGGUGCAUUAACACUAGGAGGAAGAAUUAA